GACGAACGCUGGCGGCAGGCCUAACACAUGCAAGUCGAGCGGACCUUUCGGGGUCAGCGGCGGACGGGUGAGUAACGCGUGGGAAUAUGCCCUUCUCUACGGAAGAUACCUGGGAAACUGGUGGGAAUACCGUAUACGCUCUCUGGGGGAAAGAUUUAUCGGGGAAGGAUGAGCUCGCGUUGGAUUAGGUAGUUGGUGGGGUAAUGGGCUACCAAUCCGACGAUCCAUAGCUGGUUUGAGAGGAUGAUCAGCCACACUGGUACUGAGACACGGCCCAGACUCCUACGGGAGGCAGCAGUGGGGAAUCUUAGACAGUGGGGGCAAUCCUGAUCUAGCCAUGCCGCGUGAGUGAUGAAGGCUUUAGGGUUGUAAAGCUAUUUAAGCUGGGAAGAUAAUGACGGUACCAGCAGAAGAAGCCCCGGCUAACUCCGUG
RNAcentral lists this ribosomal RNA (433 nucleotides) under uncultured bacterium. RNAcentral's name for it is "partial 16S ribosomal RNA". It matches the Rfam family "Bacterial small subunit ribosomal RNA", at positions 28 to 507 of the family's 1533-position model. The record is from RNAcentral.